RNAcentral lists this transfer RNA (59 nucleotides) under Camelus bactrianus (Bactrian camel). It matches the Rfam family "tRNA", at positions 7 to 64 of the family's 71-position model. Rfam says of the family: Transfer RNA (tRNA) molecules are approximately 80 nucleotides in length. Their secondary structure includes four short double-helical elements and three loops (D, anti-codon, and T loops). Lineage: Eukaryota; Metazoa; Chordata; Mammalia; Artiodactyla; Camelidae. The record is from Rfam by way of RNAcentral. RNAcentral also lists the same sequence under 2 other names.
AUAGCUCAGUGGUAGAGUGUAUGUUUAGUAUGCAGAAGGUCUUGGGUUCAAUCCCCAGU